Nyctereutes procyonoides (raccoon dog) is the source of this 1875-nucleotide long non-coding RNA. RefSeq lists it as uncharacterized. NCBI's taxonomy places the organism in Eukaryota, Metazoa, Chordata, Mammalia, Carnivora, Canidae. The record is from RefSeq and is a predicted model, not a curated record. The transcript is spliced from 3 exons.
UGGGGGCCUGGACGGCCUGGGGAAUGGGGUUGCAGAGAAGGGUUUGCCUGGAGGAGUGAGUGCAAGGAUGGGGCUCGGGUGGGUGCCCCCCAGGAGUUAGAGUCAGGCAGUGGCAGGUGGGGUCAGAGGCAGGCUCAGAUCCAGCCCAGGGGGUCAGAUCGCAGCUGUGGGUCUGUGACCUCGGGCAGCCUCCUGGGCUUCCCAGCUGGGCUCCUUCAGAAUCCUUGUCCUCCUGGUGGUGAUGCGUGGGCUUCCUUCUUCACUGGGGUCCCCUGUGACUCACCACCUCACUCCUGUCUCCAGCUGCUGUAAAAGGAAUGAGUUUACCGGAGUCCUACCUUCCCUGCUCUAAAAGUGGAUUUUAAAAUCAACUGGAGAAGCACAGAAGGUUUACAAAGCCCUUGACUUCGCGCCCCAUAAUGAUGCCGGUAACCGCGAGCUGUCAGGACUGAAACAGGAAAGACGAAAGAUUUUAUUUAUUCAGGAGAGACGGAGAGGCAGAGACACAGGCAGAGGGCAAAGCAGGCUCCCUGCGGGCAAUCUGACGUGGGACUUAACCCCAGGACUCUGGGAUCACGCCUUGAGCCAAAGGCAGACGCUCAACCGCUGAGCCCCCCAGGUGUCCCCGUUUUGGUAUAUCUCUAACCAAGUGAUGGUGACCAGGUUGGCUUGGGUUCUUGGGAAGUCCCUUGGAAGCUGGAUGGAGCAGGGAACAGAAGAGGGACCCUGCAGGAGCAGGGAUAGUGGAUGAGGUUUUAUUGCUGGGGAGAGCCAGCAAGAGAAGACACAGGAAGGAGGGGAGAGGGGCAGAUCCAGGUGCUCAGGACACCUGAGCGGACUUCAGUGCAGUGGGUGGACAAGGCAGAUACGGCAGGUGCUAUGGGCUGUGACCCUGUUCGUUGCCAUGUUCCUGGAGCUUGCACACGCCUGACACAUUGUAGGCUCCGAGGAAAUGUCUGCUGAUUGAAUCCCCUGCGCCAUAUGACACCACCUGGGACCCCAUGCUCCUUGGAUGGGGCGACCCUGGUUGGAGGAAACAUCUGCUCUACCCAUAGCCUUACAGGAGGUGCUGCGCUGGAGGCUGGGGCGUGACGUAACAGGACACACACCCGCCGCUGCUCGCUGCUCUCUCGGGGCUCCUGAGGUACUUGGAACCUCCCAAGUCCCAUGGAGGCCUCCCAUGUCUCCUUUCUAAAGGAAGCCUUCCCAGCUCCCCAAGGCUGCCUCUACUUCCCUCAUCGUUCUUCAUCAGAACCUUGAGCCACCUUUUAUUUCAGCGCUUAGAUUCUUCCUUGGUGGUCUGCGGACAUGAGGAGGGCAGGGACAGGCCAUGCCUCGCUCACCUCACUCACCUUUCUAUCUCCGGGGAUUGGGAGAUACCUCUGCUUCAUCAUACUGGGAACGUACGGCUGAACUUGGGGAGCUGAGUCCAGGCCCCAACACUGUCCCCAGUGGCUUUUGUCCAGAGACAGAGGACUCACUCCCUGGGACCAGCCAGAGGGGUUUCUAAACAGUCCCAGUCCCUAGUCAGUGUUCUCAGACACCGGGCUGAAUUUCGUUCCCCCACUUCUCCUCGUCAUCACCCCCCCACUCCUGCAAAGGAGCCACCUUUUGGGAAUCAUCAGAACCAGUGUUGCUGACCCUCAGUCCUAUGAGCUCAUGACCUCCCAGACCACCGUCCACGUGCUUUUCCUCCCCUCUGGCCGUGUGCUCUCAGAGCAGCUGCUUGUCACUUUAGAAUCCGGGUUCCGGGGAUCCCUGGGUGGCGCAGCGGUUUGGCACCUGCCUUUGGCCCAGGGCGCGAUCCUGGAGACCCGGGAUCGAGUCCCACGUCGGGCUCCCGGUGCAUGGAGCCUGCUUCUCCUUCUGCCUGUG